This 407-nucleotide ribosomal RNA is filed under the name uncultured bacterium. RNAcentral describes it as "partial 16S ribosomal RNA". It matches the Rfam family "Bacterial small subunit ribosomal RNA", at positions 28 to 526 of the family's 1533-position model. The record is from RNAcentral.
GACGAACGCUGGCGGCGUGCCUAAUACAUGCAAGUAGAACGCAGUUGCGAACGGGUGAGUAACGCUUAGGUAACUGCCUCAUCGCGCGGGAUAACUAUUGGAAACGAUAGCUAAUACCUCAUACUUCGAGAUUGACCUGCGUUGUAUUAGCUAGUUGGUGAGGUAAAGGAUCACCAAGGCGACGAUACAUAGCCGAACUGAGAGGGUGGUCCGCCACACCGGGGCUGGGAACCGGCCCCGAACUCGACGGGAGGACGCCGGAAGGAAACUUCCGGAAUGGACGGAAGUCUUACCGAGCAAAGCCGCGGUAGUGAAGAAGGUUUUCGGGUCGUAAAGCUCUGUUGUUAAGGAAGCGGUAACUAACCAGAAAGGGACGGCUAACUACGUGCCAGCAGCCGCGGUAAUAC